Molecule: ribosomal RNA, 696 nt
Filed under: uncultured Leuconostoc sp.
Lineage: Bacteria; Bacillati; Bacillota; Bacilli; Lactobacillales; Lactobacillaceae
Description: bacterial SSU rRNA
Rfam family: Bacterial small subunit ribosomal RNA
Source: RNAcentral
AAACGAUGAAUACUAGGUGUUAGGAGGUUUCCCCUCUUAGUGCCGAAGCUAACGCAUUAAGUAUUCCGCUGGGGAGUACGACCGCAAGGUUGAAACCCAAAGGAAUUGACGGGGACCCGCACAAGCGGUGGAGCAUGUGGUUUAAUUCGAAGCAACGCGAAGAACCUUACCAGGUCUUGACAUCCUUUGAAGCUUUUAGAGAUAGAAGUGUCUCUUCGGAGACAAAGUGACAGGUGGUGCAUGGUCGUCGUCAGCUCGUGUCGUGAGAUGUUGGGUUAAGUCCCGCAACGAGCGCAACCCUUAUUGUUAGUUGCCAGCAUUCAGUUGGGCACUCUAGCGAGACUGCCGGUGACAAACCGGAGGAAGGCGGGGACGACGUCAGAUCAUCAUGCCCCUUAUGACCUGGGCUACACACGUGCUACAAUGGCGUAUACAACGAGUUGCCAACCUGCGAAGGUGAGCUAAUCUCUUAAAGUACGUCUCAGUUCGGACUGCAGUCUGCAACUCGACUGCACGAAGUCGGAAUCGCUAGUAAUCGCGGAUCAGCACGCCGCGGUGAAUACGUUCCCGGGUCUUGUACACACCGCCCGUCACACCAUGGGAGUUUGUAAUGCCCAAAGCCGGUGGCCUAACCUUCGGGAGGGAGCCGUCUAAGGCAGGACAGAUGACUGGGGUGAAGUCGUAACAAGGUAACCA